This 491-nucleotide long non-coding RNA is filed under the name Homo sapiens (human). Its description in RNAcentral is "long intergenic non-protein coding RNA 2269". The record is from RNAcentral. Lineage: Eukaryota; Metazoa; Chordata; Mammalia; Primates; Hominidae.
ACACUUCUUAAACACAUCUCUUGACCGGGGUGUUCUCACCAUGCCCUUUCUACAAACAAAAAUAAAGAAUGAAGAUGUGGAGACCUGGAGACAGGUGGCACCUCGUGCUUCCUCCGAAGGGAGAGCCCAUUUCCUAACAGCUGGAUCAAAGGCAUGAAAUGAACAUGGAGUCCCUGAAGAUGAAGAGAAGUUACAGGAAUGCAGAUGUGAUUCCUAUGGAUGAGGGUAACCUAGAGGCUAGAAGAACAAUAGGACAGAAGAAGCCUGGGUCCCUGAACAACCUUGUGGAGCAUAGACACCUACGUGGCCUGGACUGCCAGCUCACAAUGGGCCUCUCUGUGAGAGAAGGAAACUUCCCUCUUGUUUAAGCAACUGUGCUUUUGAGAAUCUCUUGGUCUAUACCCUAAUGAAUAAGGCCAUCAUAAAUGGAUAUCAAAGUAAGGAAAUUUGUGUAAAUGAUUUAAUAAAACAUUACCUCAGGUAUGAAAUAA